Molecule: ribosomal RNA, 468 nt
Filed under: uncultured bacterium
Lineage: Bacteria
Description: partial 16S ribosomal RNA
Rfam family: Bacterial small subunit ribosomal RNA
Source: RNAcentral
GAUGAACGCUGGCGGCGUGCUUAAUACAUGCAAGUCGAACGGACAGGCCCUGCUCUUGUUGGGUUCUCGAGAGGCGAACGGGUGAGUAUCACGUGAGUAAACUCCCCUUGUCAUUCGGAUAACACCAGGGAACUGGGGAUCAUAUCCGAUAGAAGAUACUGCUCCGUGGUGGUGGUUGGAAAGUUUCGGCGGUUGGGGAUGGACUCGCGGCUUAUCAGCUUGUUGGUGGGGUAGUGGCUUACCAAGGCUUUGAGGGGUAGCCGGCAUGAGAGGGUGACCGGCCACAGUGGGACUGAGAUACGGCGCAGACUCCUACGGGAGGCAGCAGUGGGGAAUAUUGCACAAUGGGCGGAAGCCAGAUGCAGAAACGCCGCGUGCGGGAUGACGGCCUUCGGGUUGUAAACCGCUUUCGCCUGUGACGAAGCGUGAGUGACGGUAAUGGGUAAAGAAGCACCGGCUAACUACGUG